Molecule: ribosomal RNA, 406 nt
Filed under: uncultured bacterium
Lineage: Bacteria
Description: partial 16S ribosomal RNA
Rfam family: Bacterial small subunit ribosomal RNA
Source: RNAcentral
AUUGAACGCUGGCGGCAGGCCUAACACAUGCAAGUCGAGCGAGCGGCGGCCGGGUGAGUAAUGUCUGGGAAACUGCCUGAUGGAGGGGGAUAACUACUGGAAACGGUAGCUAAUACCGCAUACCAUCAGAUGUACCCAGAUGGGAUGAGCUAGUAGGUGGGGUAAGGGCUCACCUAGGCGACGAUCCCUAGCUGGUCUGAGAGGAUGACCAGCCAAACUGGAACUGAGACACGGUCCAGACUCCUACGGGAGGCAGCAGUGGGGAAUAUUGCACAAUGGGCGAAAGCCGGAUGCAGCCAUGCCGCGUGUGUGAAGAAGGCCUUCGGGUUGUAAAGUACUUUCAGCGAGGAGGCGUUACCCGCAGAAGAAGCACCGGCUAACUCCGUGCCAGCAGCCGCGGUAAUAC